RNAcentral lists this ribosomal RNA (506 nucleotides) under uncultured bacterium. Its description in RNAcentral is "partial 16S ribosomal RNA". It matches the Rfam family "Bacterial small subunit ribosomal RNA", at positions 30 to 523 of the family's 1533-position model. The record is from RNAcentral.
AUUGAACGCUGGCGGCAGGCCUAACACAUGCAAGUCGAGCGGCAGCGGAAAGUAGCUUGCUACUUUGCCGGCGAGCGGCGGGCGGGUGAGUAAUGUCUGGGAAACUGCCUGAUGGAGGGGGAUAACUACUGGAAACGGUAGCUAAUACCGCAUAACGUCGCAAGACCAAAGAGGGGGACCUUCGGGCCUCUUGCCAUCAGAUGUGCCCAGAUGGGAUUAGCUAGUAGGUGGGGUAAUGGCUCACCUAGGCGACGAUCCCUAGCUGGUCUGAGAGGAUGACCAGCCACACUGGAACUGAGACACGGUCCAGACUCCUACGGGAGGCAGCAGUGGGGAAUAUUGCACAAUGGGCGCAAGCCUGAUGCAGCCAUGCCGCGUGUAUGAAGAAGGCCUUCGGGUUGUAAAGUACUUUCAGCGGGGAGGAAGGUGUUGAGGUUAAUAACCUCAGCAAUUGACGUUACCCGCAGAAGAAGCACCGGCUAACUCCGUGCCAGCCGCCGCGGUAA